RNAcentral lists this unclassified non-coding RNA (213 nucleotides) under rhizosphere metagenome. RNAcentral describes it as "partial ribosomal RNA internal transcribed spacer region". The record is from RNAcentral.
CUUUUAUCGGGGGGUUUGCUGCCAGCGCGUUUGGGCUCCCUGCUCAGUGCAUUGGCUUCAACCCUUUCUGAUUCUACCCAUGUUUUUUGCGUACUACUUGUUUCCUUGGUAGGCUUGCCUGCCGAUAGGACAAAAUAAAACCUCUUGUAAUUGAAGUCAGCGUCAGUAACCAUGUAAUAAAUUACAACUUUCAACAACGGAUCUCUUGGUUCU